This 482-nucleotide ribosomal RNA is filed under the name uncultured bacterium. Its description in RNAcentral is "partial 16S ribosomal RNA". It matches the Rfam family "Bacterial small subunit ribosomal RNA", at positions 30 to 507 of the family's 1533-position model. The record is from RNAcentral.
AUUGAACGCUGGCGGCAUGCCUUACACAUGCAAGUCGAACGGUAACGGGCCUUCGGGUGCCGACGAGUGGCGAACGGGUGAGUAAUACAUCGGAACGUGCCCGAUCGUGGGGGAUAACGAGGCGAAAGCUUUGCUAAUACCGCAUACGAUCUACGGAUGAAAGCAGGGGACCGCAAGGCCUUGCGCGGACGGAGCGGCCGAUGGCAGAUUAGGUAGUUGGUGGGAUAAAAGCUUACCAAGCCGACGAUCUGUAGCUGGUCUGAGAGGAUGAUCAGCCACACUGGGACUGAGACACGGCCCAGACUCCUACGGGAGGCAGCAGUGGGGAAUUUUGGACAAUGGGCGCAAGCCUGAUCCAGCCAUGCCGCGUGCAGGAUGAAGGCCUUCGGGUUGUAAACUGCUUUUGUACGGAACGAAAAGCCUUCUUUUAAUACAGGAGGGUCAUGACGAUACCGUAAGAAUAAGCACCGGCUAACUACGUG